This 252-nucleotide ribosomal RNA is filed under the name uncultured bacterium. Its description in RNAcentral is "partial 16S ribosomal RNA". It matches the Rfam family "Bacterial small subunit ribosomal RNA", at positions 524 to 776 of the family's 1533-position model. The record is from RNAcentral.
UACGGAGGAUGCGAGCGUUAUCCGGAUUUAUUGGGUUUAAAGGGUGCGUAGGCGGGCUUUUAAGUCAGCGGUAAAAAUUCGGGGCUCAACCCCGUCCGGCCGUUGAAACUGGGGGUCUUGAGUGGGCGAGAAGAAGGCGGAAUGCGUGGUGUAGCGGUGAAAUGCAUAGACAUCACGCAGAACCCCGAUUGCGAAGGCAGCCUUCCGGCGCCCUACUGACGCUGAGGCACGAAAGUGCGGGGAUCGAACAGG